RNAcentral lists this unclassified non-coding RNA (89 nucleotides) under Pseudomonas thivervalensis. Lineage: Bacteria; Pseudomonadati; Pseudomonadota; Gammaproteobacteria; Pseudomonadales; Pseudomonadaceae. The record is from RNAcentral.
UGUGGGAGCGAGCCUGCUCGCGAUGGCGGUAAGUCAGUUUCAGAUGUGCUGGCUGACCCACCGCUAUCGCGAGCAGGCUCGCUCCCACA